Molecule: ribosomal RNA, 446 nt
Filed under: uncultured bacterium
Lineage: Bacteria
Description: partial 16S ribosomal RNA
Rfam family: Bacterial small subunit ribosomal RNA
Source: RNAcentral
CCUACGGGGGGCAGCAGUCGAGAAUCAUUCACAAUGGGGGAAACCCUGAUGGUGCGACGCCGCGUGGGGGAAUGAAGGUCUUCGGAUUGUAAACCCCUGUCAUGUGGGAGCAAAUUAAAAAGAUAGUACCACAAGAGGAAGAGACGGCUAACUCUGUGCCAGCAGCCGCGGUAAUACAGAGGUCUCAAGCGUUGUUCGGAAUCACUGGGCGUAAAGCGUGCGUAGGCUGUUUCGUAAGUCGUGUGUGAAAGGUGCGGGCUCAACCCGCGGACGGCACAUGAUACUGCGAGACUAGAGUAAUGGAGGGGGAACCGGAAUUCUCGGUGGAGCAGUGAAAUGCGUACAUAUCGAGAGGAACACUCGUGGCGAAGGCGGGUUCCUGGACAUUAACUGACGCUGAGGCACGAAGGCCAGGGGAGCGAAAGGGAUUAGAUACCCGAGUAGUC